RNAcentral lists this ribosomal RNA (595 nucleotides) under uncultured bacterium. RNAcentral describes it as "bacterial SSU rRNA". It matches the Rfam family "Bacterial small subunit ribosomal RNA", at positions 8 to 600 of the family's 1533-position model. The record is from RNAcentral.
AGAGUUUGAUCAUGGCUCAGAUUGAACGCUGGCGGCAUGCCUUACACAUGCAAGUCGAACGGUAACAGGUCUUCGGACGCUGACGAGUGGCGAACGGGUGAGUAAUACAUCGGAACGUGCCCAGUCGUGGGGGAUAACUACUCGAAAGAGUAGCUAAUACCGCAUACGAUCUGAGGAUGAAAGCGGGGGACCUUCGGGCCUCGCGCGAUUGGAGCGGCCGAUGGCAGAUUAGGUAGUUGGUGGGAUAAAAGCUUACCAAGCCGACGAUCUGUAGCUGGUCUGAGAGGACGACCAGCCACACUGGGACUGAGACACGGCCCAGACUCCUACGGGAGGCAGCAGUGGGGAAUUUUGGACAAUGGGCGAAAGCCUGAUCCAGCAAUGCCGCGUGCAGGAUGAAGGCCUUCGGGUUGUAAACUGCUUUUGUACGGAACGAAAAAGCUUCUCCUAAUACGAGAGGCCCAUGACGGUACCGUAAGAAUAAGCACCGGCUAACUACGUGCCAGCAGCCGCGGUAAUACGUAGGGUGCGAGCGUUAAUCGGAAUUACUGGGCGUAAAGCGUGCGCAGGCGGUUAUGUAAGACAGAUGUGAAAU